GUGGGGAAUCUUGCGCAAUGGGCGAAAGCCUGACGCAGCCAUGCCGCGUGAAUGAUGAAGGUCUUAGGAUUGUAAAAUUCUUUCACCGGGGACGAUAAUGACGGUACCCGGAGAAGAAGCUCCGGCUAACUUCGUGCCAGCAGCCGCGGUAAUACGGGGGAUGCAAGCGUUAUCCGGAUUUAUUGGGUUUAAAGGGUGCGCAGGCUGAUCGGUAAGUCAUGGGUGAAAAGUCACUGCUUAACAGUGAUCGUGCCUAUGAUACUGCCGGACUAGAGUUUAAGAGGUGUAACUGGAAUGUGAUGUGUAGCGGUGAAAUGCUUAGAUAUGUCACAGAACGCCAAUCGUGAAGACAGGUUACAAACUUAAUACUGACGCUCAUGCACGAAAGCGUGGGGAUCAAACAGGAUUAGAUACCCCUGUAGUCC
This 425-nucleotide ribosomal RNA is filed under the name uncultured bacterium. RNAcentral describes it as "partial 16S ribosomal RNA". It matches the Rfam family "Bacterial small subunit ribosomal RNA", at positions 354 to 796 of the family's 1533-position model. The record is from RNAcentral.